This 413-nucleotide ribosomal RNA is filed under the name Salmonella enterica. Its description in RNAcentral is "bacterial SSU rRNA". It matches the Rfam family "Bacterial small subunit ribosomal RNA", at positions 1 to 412 of the family's 1533-position model. The record is from RNAcentral. Lineage: Bacteria; Pseudomonadati; Pseudomonadota; Gammaproteobacteria; Enterobacterales; Enterobacteriaceae.
AAAUUGAAGAGUUUGAUCAUGGCUCAGAUUGAACGCUGGCGGCAGGCCUAACACAUGCAAGUCGAACGGUAGCACAGAGAGCUUGCUCUCGGGUGACGAGUGGCGGACGGGUGAGUAAUGUCUGGGAAACUGCCUGAUGGAGGGGGAUAACUACUGGAAACGGUGGCUAAUACCGCAUAACGUCGCAAGACCAAAGAGGGGGACCUUCGGGCCUCUUGCCAUCAGAUGUGCCCAGAUGGGAUUAGCUUGUUGGUGAGGUAACGGCUCACCAAGGCGACGAUCCCUAGCUGGUCUGAGAGGAUGACCAGCCACACUGGAACUGAGACACGGUCCAGACUCCUACGGGAGGCAGCAGUGGGGAAUAUUGCACAAUGGGCGCAAGCCUGAUGCAGCCAUGCCGCGUGUAUGAAGAA